RNAcentral lists this long non-coding RNA (685 nucleotides) under Numida meleagris (helmeted guineafowl). RNAcentral describes it as "lncRNA (ENSNMEG00000001800.1)". Lineage: Eukaryota; Metazoa; Chordata; Aves; Galliformes; Numididae. The record is from RNAcentral.
GUUUUUUUUAGAAGCAUAUAAACUUUCACUUAGCAAAAGUGCAGGAUAAUACAUAAAGUUACACAUUUUGGUGUCUGCACUUAGCUUUUUUGAGCAGAAUCACAGAGAAGCUAUUAGACAGCCCAAAACGUUUGAGUACACAGUACUUCAAGCAACAAUCUGUUACAUACAUAUGUAUUAUUAUCUGAAUCUGUUCUCCUUUAUGUCAAAAGCCAACUUCUGCUUUAUCUACAUGCCUGUAUAUCCAUGUACAUGUGUGUAAUACAGUAGGGGAGAAUGGCAUUCCCUAUGCUAGUUCCCAAGCUUCCAGAAUGCUGUGUGUACAAUGGUUGGCAGUGCAGCUCUGUGCCCGUGGGCUGACAGGCUACAGUCCUGGGUCUUUUCAUUAUCGUAAAUCCCUGACAGCACAGCAAAACACUCAGGCAGCAGGAAGAGCUGCAGGAGUCCACAUCUCUGCUGUGUGAACCAUGUGCUAUCAGCCAUCAGGUUUAGAGAAGAAAUGCACAGUAUGCUACAGCACUAAGGAGCAAAGCAAGCAGGAACAAUGGGUGACUGGUGGCAGCAUGAGACAAGGACCUGCUGAGCCCACUGGCACAUCUCAGACAAAAAAUUCCAGCAGGAGCAGACCUACAGUUCUCUAGUUGCAGCAGCACUAUGUCUUUACAUGAACUCAUCAUUAUCAUCC